RNAcentral lists this ribosomal RNA (354 nucleotides) under uncultured Oscillospiraceae bacterium. RNAcentral's name for it is "partial 16S ribosomal RNA". The record is from RNAcentral. Lineage: Bacteria; Bacillati; Bacillota; Clostridia; Eubacteriales; Oscillospiraceae.
GGAGUCUGGGCCGUGUCUCAGUCCCAAUGUGGCCGAUCGACCUCUCAGUCCGGCUACCGAUCGUCGGCAUGGUGAGCCGUUGCCUCACCAUCUACCUAAUCGGACGCGAGCCCAUCUCUCAGCGAUAAAUCUUUGAUGUUUUCGUCAUGCGGCAAAAACAUGUCAUGAGGUAUUAUCAAUCGUUUCCAACUGUUAUCCCUCUCUGAGGGGCAGGUUGCUCACGUGUUACUCACCCGUCCGCCACUAAGUCUGCUGAAUCGUCAUUCCGAAGAAAUCAGUCUCAGCAGCUUCGUUCGACUUGCAUGUGUUAGGCACGCCGCCAGCGUUCGUCCUGAGCCACUGAUCAAACGUCUA